Molecule: long non-coding RNA, 281 nt
Filed under: Hordeum vulgare
Lineage: Eukaryota; Viridiplantae; Streptophyta; Magnoliopsida; Poales; Poaceae
Description: long non-coding RNA (HVUL_LNC014017)
Source: RNAcentral
ACAAAUCUACAAUUUAUCGGAUCCCAACAAACACCAUAAUAAUUACAUCGAAUCGAUCUCGGAGAAGAAUACGAUAUUGAAGAUCCAAAAGAGAGAUAGAAAAGACAUCAAACUACUGCUAUGGACCCGUAGGUCCUAAAGGAACUACUCAAAUAUCAUCAUGCAUGCAACAAGGUUGAUGAAUACAUCCCCUCGAGUGGCUUCCCCCCGGCAAGACUCCGGAACAUGGCACUAGAUGGGAUCUCUUUGGAACAGAGGCUUGCGACGGCGAUAAAAUUCUC